GACGAACGCUGGCGGCGUGCCUAACACAUGCAAGUCGAGCGCGGAAGGGUGGUACUUGUACCAACUGGAUGAGCAGCGAACGGGAGAGUAACGUGUGGGGAAUCUGCCUUUGAGCGGGGGACAACUAUUGGAAACGAAUGCUAAUAGCGCAUAAAAUCUUUAAACACAAGGUUUACGUUUGAAAGAUGCAAUUGCAUGAUUCAAACAUGACCCCACGUUGUAUUAGCUAGUUGGUGAGGUAAAGGUCCACCAAGGCGGUGAUACGUAGCCGCCCUGAGAGGGGGAGCGGCCACAUUGGGACGGGGACACGGCCCAAACUCCUGGGGGAGGCAGCAGUAGGGGAUCUGCGGGGAUGGACGGAAGUGGGACCGAGCAACGCCGGGGGAGUGAAGAAGGUUGUCGGGUCGUGAAAGUCGGUUAGUAGAGAGGAUCGUUGGUGAGAGUGGGAAGCGCAGCAAGUGACGGUAACUGCAGAAGAAGCGACGGCUAACUACGUG
RNAcentral lists this ribosomal RNA (497 nucleotides) under uncultured bacterium. Its description in RNAcentral is "partial 16S ribosomal RNA". It matches the Rfam family "Bacterial small subunit ribosomal RNA", at positions 28 to 507 of the family's 1533-position model. The record is from RNAcentral.